AAAUAGUAUCAGGGGAGCUUAGGCUGAGAAUAGGUUUUUACCUUAAACCCUUAAAACCUGAAGUGGGUAAUGCCACCGUAGGAAGAUCUCUCAUCUGCUGA
RNAcentral lists this non-coding RNA (101 nucleotides) under Campylobacter sp. RNAcentral describes it as "TPP sequence". It matches the Rfam family "TPP riboswitch aptamer (THI element)". Rfam says of the family: Vitamin B(1) in its active form thiamin pyrophosphate (TPP) is an essential coenzyme that is synthesised by coupling of pyrimidine and thiazole moieties in bacteria. The previously detected thiamin-regulatory element, thi box was extended, resulting in a new, highly conserved RNA secondary structure, the THI element, which is widely distributed in eubacteria and also occurs in some archaea. The record is from RNAcentral. Lineage: Bacteria; Pseudomonadati; Campylobacterota; Epsilonproteobacteria; Campylobacterales; Campylobacteraceae. RNAcentral also lists the same sequence under 1 other name.